Long non-coding RNA from Nicotiana tabacum (common tobacco), 274 nucleotides. RefSeq lists it as uncharacterized. The record is from RefSeq and is a predicted model, not a curated record. Lineage: Eukaryota; Viridiplantae; Streptophyta; Magnoliopsida; Solanales; Solanaceae.
CUCAAAUAUAAAACCCAUCCUCCUGUUAGGUUGUACGAACAGUCAAGCGCCAUUAGCGUAACACAAUAAAUCAGGUUGAGACGUCAAAAACAUGGCUAAGCAUCAUCCUGACUUGAUCAUGUGCAGGAAGCAGCCAGGAAUAGCUAUUGGGCGUCUUUGUGAGAAAGACAGGGAUGGUUGUCCUAAGAUAGUCAAUCUUGGAAGUGCUAAAACUGAUCUGUUCUAUGAGCGUAAAAAAUAUGGUUUCAAGAAAGAAUCAGACAAUAUACAUUGG